This 11615-nucleotide long non-coding RNA is filed under the name Brassica napus (rape). Its description in RNAcentral is "long non-coding RNA (BNAP_LNC006902)". The record is from RNAcentral. Lineage: Eukaryota; Viridiplantae; Streptophyta; Magnoliopsida; Brassicales; Brassicaceae.
GGAUGAGUUUGUCAAGUAUGUGUAUGCUUUGGCUACGACCCGGAGACAGGGUGCUCCUGCCAAAGCAUCCACAUCCAACAAACCCAUCAUUGUUGAUUCUGGAGCAAGUCAUCACAUGAUUAGUGACAGAAGCUUAAUGAGUGAUGUAAAGAAAGCUACUGGGGGUGUGAUGAUAGCUAAUGGUGAUAGGAUUCCUAUAGAAGGAGUUGGAAAGCUCAAGCUAUUUGAUAAAGACUCAGAUGCCUUCUACAUGCCACAGUUUGCUUCAAAUCUACUAUCUGUAAGGAAAGCCACAAUUGAUCUUGGCUGUCAAGUAGUAUUCAGGCCAGAUGAUGUUGAGUUCCAAGAUUUGAAGACUGGAAGGGUCAUUGGGAGAGGAGACAGCAAGAAUAAUCUAUACCAGCUCCAAUUGGCUAAGAUUUCUAAACCCUUUGAUUCUAUGUGUUUGAGUAGUACUUAUGAGAAGAUUGAUAGUAUUACUUGGCAUGCUAGAUUGGGUCAUCCUCAUGCUCGUGCUAUUGAAUUGAUAAUUCCUAAUAUGUCAUUUAAUCACUUGGAGUGUGAAGCAUGCAUAUUAGGAAAGCAUUGUAGGACUGUUUUUCCAACAUCAGAAACUACUUAUGAGCAUUGCUUUGAUCUAGUUCAUUCAGAUGUGUGGACUGCUCCUUGUUUGUCUAGAGAUAGCCAGAAGUACUUUGUGACAUUCAUUGAUGAGAAGUCUAAGUAUACUUGGCUUACAUUGCUUCCAUCUAAAGAUAGGGUGCUAGAAGCAUUUAUGAACUUCCAAGCAUAUGUAUCUAAUCAAUACAAUGCUACUGUGAAGGUACUGAGAUCAGAUAAUGGAGGUGAAUACAUCAGCAAUGCCUUCAAGAGUCAUCUAGCCAAGCAUGGGAUUGUGCAUCAGACUAGCUGUCCUUAUACACCACAGCAGAAUGGUGUAGCUGAGAGGAAGAACAGGCACUUGAUGGAGGUUGCUAGAUCAAUGAUGUUUCAUGCAAAUGUCCCAAAACGUUUUUGGAGUGAUGCUGUGCAGACUGCUUGCUAUCUCAUCAACCGGGUUCCAACCAAGAUAUUGAAGAAUCUGUCUCCAUUUGAAGUGUUGAACAAGAGCAAACCUGUCAUUGAUCACCUACGUGUCUUUGGGUGUGUGUGCUAUGUCAUGGUUCCAGGAGAGCAGAGAAACAAGCUGGAGGCAAAGAGUACUAAGGCUAUGUUCAUUGGUUACUCUAUCACUCAGAAAGGGUACAAGUGCUAUGAUCCUGAAGCAAGGAGAGUGAUGGUAUCUAGAGAAGUGAAGUUUGUUGAAACAAAAGGUUAUUAUGAAGAAAAGGAGUGGGAAAAUCUGAAGGAUUUGUCUCAAGCUCCAUCUGAUAAGGCAACAAUACUGAGAGUGUUGUUGGAGAAGCUCGGGAUAGGGUUGUCCCAGGAUCAGGAACCCGGCAGGAGAGAGUCUUCCAAUCAGACUGGUGGAGCUGGAAGAACAACUCCUCUUGAUCAUGAGAGGGGGAAUGGAACUGAAUCUGGUGAGCAAGAGCAAAACCAAGAGGAUUCAGGUCUUCAUGAUCAAGUUGAGAACAAUGUUCAGUCUAGUGGAGAAGUGGAUGAGGUUCAGUCUAGUGGAGAAGUAGAUGAGGUUCAGUCUAGUGGAGAAGAACAAGUCGGACCGGCCAGUUCAGAAGAAGAGCAAGUGGAGCCGGCUAGUGUGCAAACUGAAGAUCAGGUGCAAGCUUUGAGGAGGAGCACAAGGAUAAAGAGGGAUCCUUCCAACUGGGUAAACACGAGAGUGUACUACAAUGCCCAGGCUGUGGAGCAUCCUUCUCAAGCCGUGUGUUCCUUUGCUGAGUUUCCAGAGGAGCAUUAUGCCUUUAUGAUUAGUCUGGAUGAGAGUUAUGUGCCAAGGACUUAUGAAGAAGCUAUGUUAGACAAGGAAUGGAAAGAAUCAGUGGGAGCUGAAGCAGGUGCUAUGAUCAAGAAUGAUACAUGGUAUGAGAGUGAACUGCCUAAGGGAAAGAAGGCUGUAUCUAGUAGAUGGAUCUUCACAAUUAAGUAUCUAGCAAAUGGACAGAUUGAUAGGAAGAAGACCAGACUGGUUGCAAGAGGAUUUACACAAACCUAUGGAGAGGAUUACAUUGAUACCUUUGCACCAGUAGCUAAGCUGCACACAGUUCGGAUUGUGUUGUCCAUUGCAACAAACUUGGAGUGGGAUUUGUGGCAGAUGGAUGUGAAGAAUGCUUUCUUACAAGGUGAGCUAGAAGAUGAGGUAUACAUGCUUCCUCCUCCUGGUCUUGAGCAUCUAGUAAAACCAGGAAAUGUUUUGAGAUUGAAGAAGGCAAUAUAUGGGCUGAAGCAGUCUCCUAGAGCUUGGUACAGAAAGCUGAGUACAACUCUCAAUGGGAGAGGAUUCAGGAAGUCUGAACUGGAUCAUACACUCUUCACUUUGGUUACUCCAUCAGGGAUCAUUGUGAUACUGGUAUAUGUGGAUGAUUUGAUUAUCACAGGGAGUGAUAAGGCUGGGAUUAAAGCCACUAAAGAGUUCCUCAAGUCUGUGUUUGAUAUUAAAGACUUGGGAGAGAUGAAGUAUUUCUUGGGGAUUGAGAUAUGCAGAUCCAAGGAGGGUUUGUUUAUGUGUCAAAGGAAGUAUACAAUGGAUAUGUUGAAGGAGACUGAUGUACUUGGAGGAAAGGUAGCCAAGACACCUCUUGAAGAGGGGUAUAAGGUCUUACGUGAGGGGGAGGUUGAAGAGAACCAGUUGUUUGAGGAUGCUAAGCUGUAUAGGAAGAUGGUUGGCAAGCUGAUCUACUUGACCAUCACCAGACCAGAUAUAUGUUUUGCUGUGAACCAAGUGAGUCAGCAUAUGCAGGCACCAAAGGUCCAUCACUGGAAGAUGGUUGAUAGGAUACUGAGGUAUCUGAGUGGGACGACUGGACAAGGGGUUUGGAUGGGUUGUAAUGGCAGUACAGAAGUGGUUGGGUAUUGUGAUGCUGAUUGGGCAGGAGAUAGAGUGGACAGGAGAUCAACUACUGGGUAUUGUACAUUCAUUGGAGGAAACUUGGUUACUUGGAAGAGUAAGAAGCAGAAGGUUAUCUCUUGUUCAAGUGCUGAAGCUGAGUAUAGAGCCAUGCUGAAGCUGACAAACGAGUUGGUGUGGAUCAAGGGGAUCUUGAAGCAUCUAGAGAUUGAGCAGAGUACUCCUAUGACUAUGCAUUGUGACAAUCAAGCAGCUAUCCACAUUGCCUCCAACUCAGUGUUUCAUGAGAGAACAAAGCACAUAGAGGUGGAUUGUCAUAAGGUGAGGCAGAUGAUUAUCUUAGGAGUGAUUCUGCCAUGUUAUACAAGAAGUGAAGAUCAGCUUGCAGAUGUGUUUACUAAGGCAGCGAGAUUAAAGACAAUGGAGUCCAUACUAUCCAGGCUUGGACUCAUUGAUCUUACUCCCAGGAGCUGAGCCCCUUAACCAUGGAGUCUCCACUCUUUUUCCCUCAUCAAAGUUUUAUCCCAAUGGGUUUUCUUUGGUGAGGUUUUUAAUGAGGGAGGUCUUCAUGGUUUCCAAGCUUGACUUGUUCCACAUGGUCAAGCUUGAGGGGGAGUGUUGAGAUGAGGUAAUAAAGAGUGACUACAUUGAUAGAGAAAGAGGAUUGAGACAGACAGUAACUUUGGAGUUACCACAGUAACUUUGGUUUUACUGUGGUAACUAAGUUAAAGCUUGGAAAGUUACCUUGGCUCACAUUGGAGAGUAAGCCACGACCAAGAGCUGUAUGGAUAAGGGAGGAGCAGUCUGGAUAAGGUUUCCUCACAGCUAGAGAGGCUGGAGACAGGCUGUAAAGUAGACAGCAUCUAGUAAAAGAUGCCAAAGGGAUCAAGCAUGUGAAGACUCCCAUUGGCUGCUUUUGGAUGGCUCUCUUUGACUACACAUGCCCUGAACCUCUACCUUAUCUAUUGAUUUCGAAAUUGAUUGAUCAAGCAUGUGAAGACUCCCAUUGGCUGCUUUUGGAUGGCUCUCUUUGACUACACAUGCCCUGAACCUCUACCUUAUCUGAUUGAUUUCGAAAUUGAUUGUCUCUCUCAUAUAAGUAUGUUGUAAACCUCAUCUUUAUUAAUUAAUGGAGUUUUGAGUCUCUCUCUCUUUAUUCUCUCUCUAAUCUCUUAAUCUCUUUAAUCUUCUCAUCUGAUUAUCCCUGAUUAGUUGAAUCAUGCUCUAAUACACAAAAGUGUAUACUAUCUUAGAUGCUUAUAGCUACUGUGAGUAUCCCUGAUUGGUUGAAUCAUGCUCUAAUACACAAAAGUGUAUACUUGUAGUAUGUGUGUGUGGAUAAUCUCCAAUGGAGAAUGAUUAGAGCUUGUUUUAGGUGAUUUAGAAGAGAGAUUGAUGAGAGUGUAUAAGAGAAUUAGGAACAGAGAUUAAGAGACUUAAGUAAAGAGAGAGAGCUUGGAAGCGAUUUGAGAGAAAGGAAGUUUGAUGAGUGUUGGUGUGUCUAAGUGUUUAAGAGAUUAGUAACAAGACUGAGAACGUGUAUAGAGAUUCAGGAUGAGAGACUAGAGAGACUAAGAAAGUGUUUCAGAUUAGAGAAGGAGAAGGGAAACCCCCUUACUCACUUAAGAGUUACAAAACAUCACUUAUGAGCUUAUAUAUGCUCUUUACAACUUGCAAUCAUAAACCUAAAUCUAAGGGCUGUUAUAACUUGAAUUUAAAUGAAUGGAUGAGAUGGAGAGAUGGUCUUGGUCGUGGCUGUGCUGUUCCUGAUGGAUAAUUGGUCCAUUUGAAUCUGGUCAAGGGAAGGCUGGCUCCUUAUUGGCUAGCUAAAGGCUCCCAUGAAUCUGCCUGUUAUAACUUGAAUUUAAAUGAAUGGAUGAGAUGGAAAGAUGGUCUUGGUCGUGGCUGGCUCAUGGUCUUGGUCGUGGCUGUGCUGUUCCUGAUGGAUAAUUGGUCCAUUUGAAUCUGGUCAAGGGAAGGCUGGCUCCUUAUUGGCUAGCUAAAGGCUCCCAUGAAUCUGCCCACUUCUUUUGCUAGAUACAUGGUUUCCUUUUGCUUUUACUUUACAGCAAGGGACUCUCCUUUCCAGCCUGUCACUCGCCAGCCUCUCCUUUGUCUUCUUCUCUUAAGAGUUUCACCAGCCUAUCCUUUGCCUUCUUCUCUUAAGAGUUUUGUCUUCUUCUCUUAAGAGUUUUGUGUUCUCUUACUGUGGUUGUUGAGAAGAGGUGAUAAAGAGUGGGUACAUUGAUAGAGGAAGAGAAAUGGGGCAGUCAGUAACGUUGGAGAUUUACCACAUUAACUUUAGUUUUACUGUGGUAACUAAGGUAUAACUUUGGGAAGUUACCUUUCAAUCAUUUGGAGAGUGAAGCACGUCCAAGGAGAGUCUGGAUAAGGAAGGAGCAAUCUGGAUAAGGAAGAAGCAUUCUGGAUAAGGUCUGGUCAUAGCUGGAAAGGUAAAACACCUUUACAGCCUGUCCAAGCAUGUGAGAACACCCAUUGGCUGCUUUUGGAUGGCUCUCCUUGACUCCACACGUUCCUGAUCUCCUCUGACCCUAUGAUUUCGAAUUGUAUCUUGUAUCACUCAUAUAAAUGAGAUUUUAGAGAGUAGAAUAGGUAUUGAGAGAUUAAGAGAGAUUUGGUAAGAGAUUAAGAGAAGUUUAGAAGAGAUUGUGAAAGAAAUGGAGAGAUUAUGUGUGAUCCAUGAUGAACAAGAGAGAGACUAGAGAGAGAGUAACAUAAUCCGCAUCAUCUUAUUGAUCAGUGAGUGUUUACAAUAUAUAGGAGUGUGAUACUAGGGUUUAAGAAGAGACUAAGCAUGUGAGGUCAAAGCUAAGGGAGCCUUUAAUUUGAACCGGACCAAUGAGCCUCUCCACACGCGUGGUCACUAUGCUAAAAGGGAACCUUUUCCUUCCAGCCUGUGCCAGCCUGUAGAGAUGCUCUUCCUCUAUCCAUAAACGGUCAUAUGCCUUCCUCUAUCCAUCAACGGUCAUAAGCCUUCUUUGGUCGAGGUAAAACAUGAUCCGAACGUGAAUUUCUUCUCGCGGUAACACUUCUUUACCGCAUGGUCGAUACCGUCUGUACGGCCGUACGGCCAUGGUACGGACCUGUACGGACCAGUACGGACGGUUCUCCCUAAGGCCAAUCCUUCUCCUCUACUCAACAUCACAACCUCUUCAACCCUGAACAACUCUCCUCAUAUUCCUCAGCUCAUCUCAACACUCCCCCUCAAGCUUGACCAUGUGGAACAAGUCAAGCUUGGAAGGAUCAUGAGCUCCCCCUCAUUAAAAACCUCAUCAAAGAAAACCCAUUGGGACAAAACUCUGAUGAGGGAAAAAGAGUAAGGACCUCAUGAUCAGGAGAGUGUAUAGAUCAGCCCUUAGGCGAAAGAUCAAGGAGUCCCAACCUUAUGUGAAUUGACUCCAUUGUCUUUUGCCUAGCCGCCUUAGUGAAAACAUCUGCCAACUGAUCCUCACUCCUUGUGUAGCACGGCAGUAUCACUCCCAAGACUAUCAUCUGCCUCACUUUAUGACAGUCCACUUCAAUAUGCUUGGUUCUUUCAUGGAACACCGAGUUUGUGGCUAUGUGAAUGGCUGCUUGAUUGUCACAAUGCAUGGUCAUUGGUGUUGCUUGCUCAAUCUCCAAGUGCUUCAGUAUUCCUUUAAUCCAUACCAACUCAUUUGUGAGCUUUAGCAUUGCUCUAUACUCAGCCUCGGCACUUGAGCAUGACACCACCUUUUGCUUCUUACUCUUCCAAGUAACCAUGUUUCCACCAAUGAAUGUGCAAUAGCCGGUUGUAGAUCUUCUAUCUGUUCUGUCUCCAGCCCAAUCUGCAUCACAAUAUCCCACUGCUUCAGUGCUCCCAUUACAACCCAUCCAUAUACCAAGCCCUUGAGUUCCAUUCAGAUACAUGAGAACUCUUUCUACCAUGCGCCAGUGAUGCUCUCUUGGAGCUUGCAUAUGCUGACUCACUUGGUUCACAGCAAAACAGAUGUCUGGCCUAGUAAUGGUUAGAUAGAUCAGCUUCCCCACAAGCUUCCUGUAUAGCUUUGGAUCAUGAAAUGCCUUACUAUCUUCUAGCUCCCCCUCACGUGGAGCUUUAUACCCAUCCUCCAUGGGCAUCUUGGCUGUCUUUCCUCCAUACGCACCAGCCUCCUUCAACAGAUCCAAGAUAUAUUUCCUUUGUGAGAUGAACAGCCCUUCUUCUGAUCUGCACAGCUCAAUUCCAAGGAAGUACUUCAUUUCUCCCAAGUCUUUGAUGUCAAACACAGAUUUCAGAAACUCCUUGGUCUCCUUGAUUCCCACCUUAUCACUGCCUGUGAUAACUAUGUCAUCCACAUAUACAAGAAGCACAACAAUGCCUGCAGGUGUAGUAAGAGUGAAGAGAGUGUGAUCAAGCUCUGAUUUCCUGAAGCCUCUUCCAUUUAGAGUUGUGCUCAGCUUGUGAUACCAUGCCCUUGCUGAUUGCUUUAACCCAUAGAUGGCCUUCUUCAACCUCAGCACAUUCCCUGGUUUCACCAUCCCUUCUAGGCCCGGAGGUGGUAGCAUGUAGACUUCAUCUUCCAACUCUCCUUGGAGAAAUGCAUUCUUCACAUCCAUUUGCCAAAGAUCCCACCCAAGAUUAGUAGCCACUGAUAGGACUAUUCGAAUGGUGUGUAGCUUUGCAACUGGAGCAAAUGUAUCAAUGUAGUCUUCUCCAUAUGUCUGAGUGAACCCUCUUGCUACCAGUCUAGUCUUCUUCCUCUCAAUUGACCCAUCAGCCUUGUACUUGACUGUAAAGAUCCAUCUACUAGACACAGCCUUCUUCCCUUUUGGUAGUUCACUCUCAUACCAUGUAUCAUUCUUUAUCAUAGCUCCUGCCUCAGCUCCUACUGAUUCCUUCCAUUCUUCAUCUUCCAUAGCCUCUUCAUAGCUUCUUGGAAUGUGAUUCUUAUCUAAGUUUACCAUAAAUGCACAAUGUGCUUCUGGAUAUUGAGCAAAGGAACACACGGCCUGAGUAGGAUGCUUCACAGCUUGGGCAUUGUAGUACACUCUCGUGUUUACCCAACUAGAAGGAUCCCUUCUCAGCCUUGUACUCCUUCUCAACACUGGUCCUUCUUGCGCCAUCUCUUGUUCUUCUUCUACUUGUGGAGUGACUGCUUCAGUCUGUACUUCAGCUUCAGCUCUAGCCUCUCCUUGUCUCUGACCUUCUUCAUUCUGACUUUCAUUCAGUUCUUCCCUUGCUGAUCCUUCUCCACUUUGGACAGGAGAAUCAGUUCCUCUGUUUCCUAGCUCACCGGCCUCUUCUAAGCCUUGGUCCUCUAGUUCAGAUACUGAUUCACUUCCCCCCUCAUGUGCAAAGUGGGAUGGUUCUUCUGCUGCAGCUGGAGUAGGUUCUGGACGCCUACUCUGAUCCUGGGACACUCCAAUUCCGAGCCCCUCUAGAAUGUUUCUCAAGCAAGCAGCUCUUUCUGAUGGCUGGGAUAGAUCCUCCAGGUCUUCCCAUGUCUGCUCAUCAUAGUAUCCUUUCUCUUCCAUGAAUCUGACAUCCCUUGACACUAGGACUCUCCUAGCUGUAGGAUCAUAGCAUUUGUAGCCCUUCUGUGAAGUGGAAUACCCAAUCAUCAUGGCCUUGGUGCUCUUUGCUUCUAGUUUGUUUCUCUGCUCGCCUGGUACAAGAACAUAACACACGCAUCCAAAGGUCCUCAGGUGAUCCAAGACUGGCCUGCUCUUGUUAAGUACCUCAAAUGGAGAUUGAUCUGCCAAGAUCCUGGUUGGUAUCCUGUUGAUCAGAUAGCACGCAGUCAUCACAGCAUCACUCCAAUACCUCUUGGGAACCCCUUUGUGGAACAUCAUAGACCGGGACACCUCCAUGAGAUGUCUGUUCUUCCUUUCAGCAACUCCAUUCUGCUGUGGAGUGUAUGGGCAGCUAGUCUGGUGAAGAAUCCCAUGUUGAGCAAGGUGAUCACGAAAUGCAUGCCCAGUAUACUCCCCACCAUUAUCAGACCUGAAAAUCUUAAUCUUGGCAUGAUAUUGGUUAGUCACAUAGGCUUGAAAUUUUUUAAAUGCAUCAAGGACUCUAUCUUUAGUUUUAAUCAAUGUUAACCAGGUGUAUUUGGAUUUUUCAUCAAUGAAUGUGACAUAAUACUUGUAAUCAUCCCUAGAUAAGCAAGGUGCAGUCCAAACAUCAGAGUGAAUUAAAUCAAAGCAGUUUGCAUAAAGAGUAGAUGAUCUUUGAAAAACAGUCUUACAGUGUUUACCCAAAAUACAAGCCUCACAAUCAUUAUUUUUAAACAUGACACCUGGUAACAUAAUGCUUAAAGCCCUAACAUGUGGAUGGCCUAGCCUAGCAUGCCACAGAGCAUCAAUACUUAAGGAAGAAACAGAACUAAACGAGAAACAAGAACUAGAAAUAGGUGCAAGGUCUUCAAUCAUGUAAAGAUCUCCCUUGGUUGCUCCUUGCCCAAUCAACUUACUGCUCUUAAUAUCCUGAAACUUAACAUCAUUAUGACUGAAAAUAACAUUGCAUUGAAGAUCAGUAGUGCAUUUCUUAACUGAUAAGAGAUUAGAGGUGAACUCAGGCAUGUAAAAAGCUUUUGAAUCCUUAUUAAACAAGUUCAGUUUACCAAUGCCUCUAAUGGGAAUUCUAUCUCCAUUUGCAAUCAUAACAUGACCAAGUGCAGGUUCUAUGUCUUUUAUCAGAUUGUUAUCACUAAUCAUGUGAUGAGAUGCACCAGAAUCAAUUAUCAAUGGUUUAUGCAAGCUCCUAGCAGUAUUGAUUCUAGAUGUUUCAUUUUCAGCUUUCAGGCUCUUAACUACUCCUAACAAUCUAUCAGUUAUGCUAGUAUGAGCAGUAGCAGUACAUGAGGUUUUAAAAAUGUCUAACAGCUUAUCAGAGAUACUAGGUAAUGUAUGAGCAGAGUAUGAGUAUCCAAGAGUGUUGCCUAGCAUUUUACCAGACUCCUUGAGGGCUCGGAUGAAUGCCUCAAAGUCAGCCUUGGUGAUCACUUCCUGAGAAGUUAGAACCAUGCCUUCACUUUCACCCGCCUUGACAUUUGGACUAGCCCCUGAUGAGCCAGCACCACUUGCUUCAGCAGAAAGGUGAGCCUUAGCUUCUCUAUCCUUGUUGAACUUGCUUGGCCUGAGGUGUGGAUGUAGGAUCCAGCACUGACUCUUCUUAUGCCCUUGCCGCUUGCAAUGCUCACAGCUUCCCUCAUACUUCUCAUACUUCCUUCCAUCUCCACGGUAUGCUGCCUUGUUUGCUUGCGCCUCUUCUGCUUUAUGAGCCGUGGACAUUCCCUUCUUGCCUCCAAACAACCCAAGAGAGCCUUCCUCCUUCUGAAGUUGUGCACAAACCUCCUCCAUGGAUGGGAGAGUAGGUGAUCUCAGGAUAUGCUUGAUCACAUCCUGGUAGCUUUCAUCUAGAGUCAUCAAUAGCCCAAACACCUGAUCUUGCUCUCUCCUCUCAAUGAGCGAUUCCUCAUCAGUUGUGUUGGGUCUAAGACUCUCAAGUUCGGACCACAACGCUCCAAACUUCCCCAUGUGCUUGGUGAGAUCUUCUCCAUCUUGCCUCAAGACACUGAUGGUUUGCUUCAGAUCAAACACCCGACUUAUGUUGGACUUGUUUCCAUACCUCUUAUGGAGCAUGUCCCAAAGGCGCUUAGGAGUCUCAAAGUGCACGUAAGCUUCAAGUAUGGGGAGCUCCAGAGAGGCAUGGAGCACAGACAGCACCAUCAAAUCCUCUUGGACCCAUCUCUUUGCUUCAGCUACCGCAAGAGUCUUCCCGUCGCCUUCUUCUUCAUCUUCUUUGGCCACUGGCUCCGGACCAUCAUCUGUGAUGUGGUUCCACAGCCCUAGCCUUCCAAUGGUAGUCCUCACCAACUGGGACCACAUCAAGUAGUUCGAGCCUCCCUUCAGUGCAACCGGAACCGUCACCAGUUUGCUAAAGUUGGUCGUCUCCAUCUCCUCUUCUUUAUCACACAAGAACACACUCGCAAAUGUAAAGAAAGGAACAAGGGUCUCUCAAUACCAAAGCCAACCUGGCUCUGAUACCAUAUGAGAUUAGAGAGUAGAAUAGGUAUUGAGAGAUUAAGAGAGAUUUGGUAAGAGAUUAAGAGAAGUUUAGGAGAGAUUGUGAAAGAAAUGGGGAGAUUUAUGUAUGAACCAUGAUGAACAAGAGAGAGACUAGAGAGAGAGUAACAUGAUUCGCAUUAAUCAAUUAAUCAGAGAGAGUUUACACUUAUAUAUGAAGCUUAAGACACUAGGGUUUAGACUGCAUAAAGGAGAAAGCAUGUGAAGUCAAGAUACAGCUAAGGGCGGAUUUGAAUCCUUCCAAUGAGAGUCUCCACAUGUGUAAGGCAUCUUUGAAUAUGCCUUUACCUUUCCAGCUCUUGCCAGACUGUCAGACGCGUUCCUCCUUAUCCUCUCAACGUUCGGAUCAAGCUCAGCCUUAAGGUAAAGUAACUCUAGCUGGUUUACUUUUACCUGAGCUAAGUAACCCCUUAACCGCGCAUGAUGGUACGGCCUGAUCGUCCGUACCCUUUGCCCUAUCCGUACAGUCCGUACAAGAUGCUUCUAUCUUCCUCUCUAAUGCUUCUACACUUCCUAAGGUCUCCUCUUCAUACCAUAAGGCUCUCUUCUUAACACUCCCCCUCAAGCUUAGCUUUGUGAC